CUUCAGCUUAAUGUAGUGGUUCUGGUGUCUAUAGCCUGUCCCUGCAGGCCUUUUAAUGUAAACACGGCGGCACUGCAGCACUGGCAUUAGUUAACAUGGCAAAUCAUAUGGGUGGGGCAUUGUGAUGUCACAUGGGGAGGGGCAGUAAACUUUACUUUUGCCAAGGGCGGCAAAAAUCCUUGCACCGGUCCUGGCUGGAGGGGGCUGUGUGAGCUGUGGCCGCACAGUGCCCCAUGGUAGUUAGGGUGCCGUGCGGCCAGUACAGCUCACACAAGCAAACAGCUGAUAAACUGGGCGCACGGAGGAAAUGUGAAUGUGUGACUGUCUGCCUGUGACUGUGUGUGACUGUCUGCCUGUAACUUAGUGUGUGACUGUCUGU
RNAcentral lists this long non-coding RNA (379 nucleotides) under Pelobates cultripes (western spadefoot toad). Lineage: Eukaryota; Metazoa; Chordata; Amphibia; Anura; Pelobatidae. The record is from RNAcentral.